This is a long non-coding RNA of Catharus ustulatus (Swainson's thrush), 331 nucleotides long. RefSeq lists it as uncharacterized. The record is from RefSeq and is a predicted model, not a curated record. Lineage: Eukaryota; Metazoa; Chordata; Aves; Passeriformes; Turdidae. The transcript has 4 exons.
GACCAGGAAAGGAUCAGGAUCGGGAUCGGGAAAGGGUUGGGAUCGGGACUGGGUCGGGGUUGGGACCAGGAAAAGGGUCGGGAUCAGGAUCAGGACCGGGACCAGGAUCAGGAAUUGGGAUCAUGUCAGGAUCAGGUUCGGAUUUGGGAAAUUUUUUUGGAGGGGGAAUCCCCCAAAAAUUUGGGAUGCAGGAGAAUUAUGAGAACGUCAUUUCCUUGGCCGAGGAAAUCGCCAUCAGUUGGCCCCGGAUCACCGCGUUCGCCGAAUCCCACCGGAGACGGGGGCUGGUGUCGGCCCCCUCCCCCGACGGUUCCCCUCCCCACCCCUCCCC